UUGAACGCUGGCGGCCUGCUUUACACAUGCCAGUCGCACGGCAGCGCGGGCUUCGGCCUGGCGGCGAGUGGCGAAUGGGUGAGUAAUGCAUCGGAACGUGCCCAGUAGUGGGGGAUAGCCCGGCGAAAGCCGGAUUAAUACCGCAUACGACCUGAGGGUGAAAGCGGGGGACCGAAAGGCCUCGCGCUAUUGGAGCGGCCGAUGUCGGAUUAGCUAGUUGGUGGGGUAAAGGCUUACCAAGGCGACGAUCCGUAGCUGGUCUGAGAGGACGACCAGCCACACUGGGACUGAGACACGGCCCAGACUCCUACGGGAGGCAGCAGUGGGGAAUUUUGGACAAUGGGGGCAACCCUGAUCCAGCCAUGCCGCGUGCGGGAAGAAGGCCUUCGGGUUGUAAACCGCUUUUGUUCGGGAAGAAAUCCUCUGGGCUAAUACCCCGGGGGGAUGACGGUACCGGAAGAAUAAGCACCGGCUAACUACGUG
RNAcentral lists this ribosomal RNA (483 nucleotides) under uncultured bacterium. Its description in RNAcentral is "partial 16S ribosomal RNA". It matches the Rfam family "Bacterial small subunit ribosomal RNA", at positions 29 to 507 of the family's 1533-position model. The record is from RNAcentral.